CCGGGCGGCGGCGGCGGCGGCGGCAGAAGGGACGACUGAGCCCGCGCCCGGAGUUGCCGCUCCUGCCGCCUGGCGCGGGCGGCGCCUUCCCAGCAGAGCCGCGGCGCCGCGAGCGCGGGCGCCCCCUAACGGCGGCGCGGGCGAGAGGCCAGAGGGCCCGACGGCCGCAGGGACUCAGCCGGGCGCAGCGUGGACCGCACGGUCAGGCCAGCUUUGCUGCAGCCCCGAAGCCACGCCCCGAGGCCCCAGUCCCGCCCCCCGAAUCCACGAGGCCCCGCCCAGACCCCGCCCCUACGUCCCGCUUCCGCCCGCAGUUUGGGAUCAGCGUAGCUCCCGGCAGUCUUGACUGUGUUCUAGGGCCUAGGAUCCCCGGCGCUGUUUCUCCGUGUCAUCGCACUAGCGUGUAUGGGGCACCGACUAUGUGCCAGGCCUGAGGGAUACAGCGGCCACCAAGAUAGAGGGGGGUCCUAAUGAGAGGAGAAAACAGACAAGACCCAAGGAAACAGCCAGUAGUUUAUAAUAAUAACGAGUUCUGAUCAUAAAUGUUGGGAGGUGCAUGAUUAGCGGAAUUAGAUGGAGAACAAGGGGAAGGGGCCUCUGCUUCACACGCGGUGGCCUAGGAAGACCUGGACGUCAGGACUGUGGCCAGAGCGCCUCCUGGCUUUACCCUCCGUUGGGGGAGGCAAUCCUGUAAUAAGGUCACCUAUCCAUUAUGGUGGGCAGAGUAGGGAAUGGCAGCCUAGCCUGAAGGGUCAGCGUGGACAGCCAGGUGGAGAGAAGGGCAGAGCUGACUUCAGCAGAGAAAACGACCGGUGCAAAGGCUCUGAGGCCUGAAGGAGCUGGUCCUAGCUUCCAGAACUCUGCUGGGAGCUGCAGAACCAGGAGGAGGAGUCUGAUUCUCACCAGUCUUCAGAGGACCAGCAUAGUUCCUGCUUAUCCCUGAGAAGUGGGAUUUAGUUCUUGCCAGCCCAUGGAAUUAUUCCAACAAGCCAAUCACAUCCUCCUGCAGGAAUGCCUCACCCUCUUUAUACUUCAAAUACUCU
RNAcentral lists this long non-coding RNA (1043 nucleotides) under Equus asinus (donkey). RNAcentral's name for it is "lncRNA (ENSEASG00005025839.1)". The record is from RNAcentral. Lineage: Eukaryota; Metazoa; Chordata; Mammalia; Perissodactyla; Equidae.